GAUAUGGCUCAGGAUGAACGCUAGCUACAGGCUUAACACAUGCAAGUCGAGGGGCAGCGGGAUUGAAGCUUGCUUCAAUUGCCGGCGACCGGCGCACGGGUGAGUAACGCGUAUCCAACCUUCCGUACACUCAGGGAUAGCCUUUCGAAAGAAAGAUUAAUACCUGAUGGUAUGAUGAGAUUGCAUGAUAUCAUCAUUAAAGAUUUAUCGGUGUACGAUGGGG
RNAcentral lists this ribosomal RNA (223 nucleotides) under uncultured bacterium. Its description in RNAcentral is "partial 16S ribosomal RNA". It matches the Rfam family "Bacterial small subunit ribosomal RNA", at positions 15 to 230 of the family's 1533-position model. The record is from RNAcentral.